RNAcentral lists this ribosomal RNA (253 nucleotides) under uncultured bacterium. Its description in RNAcentral is "partial 16S ribosomal RNA". It matches the Rfam family "Bacterial small subunit ribosomal RNA", at positions 524 to 776 of the family's 1533-position model. The record is from RNAcentral.
UACGGAGGAUGCAAGCGUUAUCCGGAAUGGUUGGGCGUAAAGCGUCCGCAGGUGGCAAUGUAAGUCUGCUGUCAAAGCGUCUGGCUCAACCAGAUACAGGCAGUGGAAACUACAUAGCUAGAGUAAGGUAGGGGUAGAGGGAAUUCCUGGUGUAGCGGUGAAAUGCGUAGAGAUCAGGAAGAACACCGGUGGCGAAGGCGCUCUGCUGGACCUUAACUGACACUGAGGGACGAAAGCUAGGGGAGCGAAUGGG